Molecule: long non-coding RNA, 1560 nt
Filed under: Homo sapiens (human)
Lineage: Eukaryota; Metazoa; Chordata; Mammalia; Primates; Hominidae
Description: HSALNT0300296
Source: RNAcentral
AAAAAGCCGGGAGAGGGAGAAGAAAGAAAUCUUCCUUUUGCAAAAGGAGGCAUAAUGUGGCUUAGAGAACGGCCCCCCUCUCCGCCCUGGGGGAGCCGGGAGGAUGUGCAGCCCCAGUCCUCCUGCUCGGCGGAGCCUCGCGCGCGCAGAGCCUAGCGCGAUUCGCGCCCUCAUUACUACUACAAAGCGCGGGCCAGACCAAUCCCCUUUCUAAUGCACCAUUUUCGACUGAGAACAUCAAGAGGCCAGAAACUUCCAAGUCAGCUUGCAGACGCAGACGCCUCCUGGGGUCCUGGCUUUAAGAACCAGAUGCCAACACUCCCGGACAGUUUAUGGCAUCCGGAUCCCUCAAGGGUGCUCAUCUGCAGUUGAGAGUCUAAUAAAUGGCAUUAACAAAGCGUUUCAGCGACUACCACGGCUUCACAGUGGCUCCUCCCCUGCCCUGCCACCAUUCAGGCUGUAAUUCCUUCCAGGAUUCCCGCACCAUCCUGUGUGCCCAGAGCUCUCUAGAGCACCAGGAUUCUGUGUGAAGAAUACAGAGACAGACGUUCCAUUUCAAAGAAAAAAGAGCAACACGAAGGCCCUCUUUAAGGAGAGAGUAAACAUUCACUUUAGGUAAAAAAUAGUCUUUUACACGCCUGUGCACGGCACACCUCUUUUGCUGUUCACCUUGAGCCCAAGAGUUUGGAAAGGCUGCCCCCAUUUCAGAGAGGAAGAAACGCAGGCACACGUGAAUGACAGACUCCUCUGUGGUGGCCUAGACUCCAGCCAACACUUCCUAGGACAGCCUGCCAUUGUGCAAAGUCACCAUGUAACAAAUGCAGACAUCUCUGAGAUCACCAUGCAGUGAGGAAGUCUAAGCUGGUGGCAUGAAGAGGCCACAUGGAAAGGGCUAAAAAAGGGGCCAGCCUCAGUCAUCCCAGCUGAGCACCUGGCUGGGAAUAAAAGAGGACUCCGUGGAUGUCCAGCCCAGUAAGAUGACCUCAGCCCCAGCCACCAACUGACCAAGCACACAAGACAUCGUGAGGCUGCCUGCUGGAGCCUGGCCAGUGGGACUGUAGAGUAACUCAUUGUCGUGCAGGAACUCCUGGGAUGGUGUUGCCCAGUGACACAAUCCCAGUGUGGCCAUUUCUGAUCCCGAGAAAGCAGUCAGGAGUGGGUGGAUGCAGUUACAGUUCAUCAAGUCCUGCUAGUUCAAGUCAUGAGUCCUGAAUUCUCCAGGAGGAGCCACUAAAGAAAUGCAGAAGCAGGCAAUCCUUGCAAUAAGGCCAGCAAACUGCCAGUGUGAAGGAUGCCCAGGUAACCUGCCCAUGCCAGAACGGCCAGGAGAUGGUGGAACCAGAAUCUAAGCCCACGCCCAUCUGACCUCAAAGUCUGUGCUCCUGAGGUUCGCACCGAGUUGCCUCCUAAGACUUGCUGAAACUGGAUCACGUCCAUUUACCCAUCUCUGAGAGAAAUGCAAGCUUUAAAAAAGGAAAUAUUUACUAUGGAUAUUUUACAAUAGUUCCAAAACAUGAAAGUUUUAAAUAAGAUAUUCUUAACCAUCCUCACCACAUCUUC